GCCCCGGUAGCUCAGUUCAGGCAGACGAAAAGGUCAAUAGCAGCCGGCUGUUAACCGGCUGGUCGGAGGUUCGAGUCCUCCCCGGGGCG
This 89-nucleotide transfer RNA is filed under the name Candidatus Bathyarchaeota archaeon. RNAcentral describes it as "tRNA-Asn". It matches the Rfam family "tRNA". Rfam says of the family: Transfer RNA (tRNA) molecules are approximately 80 nucleotides in length. Their secondary structure includes four short double-helical elements and three loops (D, anti-codon, and T loops). Lineage: Archaea; Thermoproteati; Candidatus Bathyarchaeota. The record is from RNAcentral. RNAcentral also lists the same sequence under 1 other name.